AUUGAACGCUGGCGGCAGGCCUAACACAUGCAAGUCGAGCGGAUGAAGGGAGCUUGCUCCUGGAUUCAGCGGCGGACGGGUGAGUAAUGCCUAGGAAUCUGCCUGGUUGUGGGGGAUAACGUCCGGAAACGGGCGCUAAUACCGCAUACGUCCUGAGGGAGAAAGUGGGGGAUCUUCGGACCUCACGCUAUCAGAUGAGCCUAGGUCGGAUUAGCUAGUUGGUGGGGUAAAGGCCUACCAAGGCGACGAUCCGUAACUGGUCUGAGAGGAUGAUCAGUCACACUGGAACUGAGACACGGUCCAGACUCCUACGGGAGGCAGCAGUGGGGAAUAUUGGACAAUGGGCGAAAGCCUGAUCCAGCCAUGCCGCGUGUGUGAAGAAGGUCUUCGGAUUGUAAAGCACGUUAAGUUGGGAGGAAGGGCAGUAAGUUAAUACCUUGCUGUUUUGACGUUACCAACAGAAUAAGCACCGGCUAACUUCGUG
Molecule: ribosomal RNA, 484 nt
Filed under: uncultured bacterium
Lineage: Bacteria
Description: partial 16S ribosomal RNA
Rfam family: Bacterial small subunit ribosomal RNA
Source: RNAcentral